AUGCCCCACUAUAAUGCUUGGACCAAGCACGGAGAAAGAGGGGUUAUGAUGGAAGACAAUGAAGAAGAAGAGGACGACGACAGCUAUCCUGGCCAUGGGUUCCCUGAAUACGAUGGUACAACAAUGGGGGAAGAAGUUGAGCCGGCAAUGCAGGAAGAAGCUGAGCCGGCAAUGCGGGAAGAAGCUGAAGAAGAGGCAUCAGAUGAGCCCGCUAAUGAUAUAGGUCGGGCCAUUGCCGAUGCAAAGAGAAACUGCGCAACUGAAAAGGAGGAGAAGAAGUUGCAGCGCAUCUUGGAGGAUCACAAGAAAUUGUUGUACCCGAAUUGCGAAGCUGACAAGAAAAAGCUGGGCACCACACUGGAAUUGCUGCAAUGGAAGGCAGAGAAUGGUGUAUCUGACAAGGGAUUUGGAAAGUUGCUGAUAAUGUUAAAGAAGAUGUUUCCAAGGGACAACGAAUUGCGCGAGUGUACAUACGAAGCAAAGAAGGCUGUCUGCCCUCUAAGGUUAGAGGUGCAGAAGAUACAUGCAUGCCCUAAUUACUGCAUCCUCUACAGCGGUGAGUACAAGGGUUUGAACGCGUGCCCGGUAUGCGGUGCAUUGCACUAUAAGAUCAGCCACGAUGACCCUGGUGAUGUCUAG
RNAcentral lists this ribosomal RNA (639 nucleotides) under Triticum aestivum (bread wheat). RNAcentral's name for it is "partial small subunit ribosomal RNA". Lineage: Eukaryota; Viridiplantae; Streptophyta; Magnoliopsida; Poales; Poaceae. The record is from RNAcentral.